This 240-nucleotide ribosomal RNA is filed under the name uncultured bacterium. RNAcentral's name for it is "partial 16S ribosomal RNA". It matches the Rfam family "Bacterial small subunit ribosomal RNA", at positions 95 to 334 of the family's 1533-position model. The record is from RNAcentral.
CCGGCGCACGGGUGAGUAACGCGUAUGCAACUUACCUAUCAGAGGGGGAUAACCCGGCGAAAGUCGGACUAAUACCGCAUGAAGCAGGGAUCCCGCAUGGGAAUAUUUGCUAAAGAUUCAUCGCUGAUAGAUAGGCAUGCGUUCCAUUAGGCAGUUGGCGGGGUAACGGCCCACCAAACCGACGAUGGAUAGGGGUUCUGAGAGGAAGGUCCCCCACAUUGGUACUGAGACACGGUCCAA